CCUACGGGAGGCAGCAGUGGGGAAUCUUGCGCAAUGGGCGAAAGCCUGACGCAGCAACGCCGCGUGCGGGAAGAAGGCUUUCGGGCUGUAAACCGCUUUCAGCAGGAACGAAAAUGACGGUACCUGCAGAAGAAGGAGCGGCCAACUAUGUGCCAGCAGCCGCGGUGAUACAUAGGCUUCAAGCGUUGUCCGGAUUUAUUGGGCGUAAAGAGUUCGUAGGCGGUCGAGUAAGUCGGGUGUGAAAAUUCUGGGCUCAACCCAGAGACGCCACCCGAUACUGCUUAACUUGAGUUCGAUAGGGGAGUGGGGAAUUCCUAGUGUAGCGGUGAAAUGCGCAGAUAUUAGGAGGAACACCGGUGGCGAAGGCGCCACUCUGGAUCGAUACUGACGCUGAGGAACGAAAGCAUGGGUAGCAAACAGGAUUAGAUACCCUGGUAGUCCAUGCCGUAAACGGUGGGCACUAGGUGUGGGAUUCUAUUAACGAAUUCCGCGCCGUCGCUAACGCAUUAAGUGCCCCGCCUGGGGGAGUACGGUCGCAAGACUAAAACUUAAAUGAAUUGACGG
Molecule: ribosomal RNA, 564 nt
Filed under: uncultured bacterium
Lineage: Bacteria
Description: bacterial SSU rRNA
Rfam family: Bacterial small subunit ribosomal RNA
Source: RNAcentral